GCAUUAAUGGGGUAGUGGUAACCUGGGUCGUUGCCAUUUAACCGCAUCCUGGAUUCAUGCACUGAGCCAUCGACCCGCCGGGGGUUCGAUUCCCUCUUAAUGCA
This is a non-coding RNA of Dendrothele bispora CBS 962.96, 104 nucleotides long. The record is from the annotation of a GenBank genome assembly. Lineage: Eukaryota; Fungi; Basidiomycota; Agaricomycetes; Agaricales.